RNAcentral lists this long non-coding RNA (212 nucleotides) under Homo sapiens (human). RNAcentral describes it as "non-protein coding lnc-TRIM26-2:37". The record is from RNAcentral. Lineage: Eukaryota; Metazoa; Chordata; Mammalia; Primates; Hominidae.
UCUUGGUCCAAAUCUCUUGCAAAUAGGCCACACCGUAGUCAUAGAGCAAGAGGACUCAGAUACAGUUUGGUUGGUCCUUUACCUUCAAAAGUUCAAGUGCUGGCUGCCGAGACUUCUCCAACUCAGUGAUCAGGGUCCCAAGCUGGACCACCUCCUCAGAACCCUUGAUGACACGGCUGUUCCUCCUUUUGAGACACUUACUGAUGCAAAGG